GAAAGGUCCGGGCGUUAUCCGGAUUUAUUGGGUUUAAAGGGAGCGUAGGUGGCAGUGCAAGUCAGAUGUGAAAGGCCGGGGCUCAACCCCGGNGCUGCAUUUGAAACUGCAUAGCUGGAGUACAGGAGAGGCAGGCGGAAUUCCUAGUGUAGCGGUGAAAUGCGUAGAUAUUAGGAGGAACACCAGUGGCGAAGGCGGCCUGCUGGACUGUUACUGACACUGAGGCACGAAAGCGUGGGGAGCNAACAGGAUUAGAUACCCUGGUAGUCCACGCCGAAAACGAUGGAUACUNGGUGUCGGGGCCGUAUNGGCUUCGGUGCCGCAGCAAACGCAGUANGUAUUCCNCCUGGGGAGU
This 355-nucleotide ribosomal RNA is filed under the name uncultured bacterium. RNAcentral's name for it is "bacterial SSU rRNA". It matches the Rfam family "Bacterial small subunit ribosomal RNA", at positions 527 to 881 of the family's 1533-position model. The record is from RNAcentral.